GGUUUCUAGGGCCGAAGUAAUGAUUAAGAGGGACAGUUGGGGGCAUUCGUAUUUAAUUGUCAGAGGUGAAAUUCUCGGAUUUAUGAAAGACGAACAACUGCGAAAGCAUUUGCCAAGGAUGUUUUCAUUAAUCAAGAACGAAAGUUAGGGGUUCGAAGACGAUCAGAUACCGUCGUAGUCCUAACCAUAAACUAUGCCGACUAGGGAUCGGUGGAUGUUAGCGUUUGACUCCAUCGGCACCUUAUGAGAAAUCAAAGUCUUUGGGUUCCGGGGGGAGUAUGGUCGCAAGGCUGAAACUUAAAGGAAUUGACGGAAGGGCACCACCAGGAGUGGAGCCUGCGGCUUAAUUUGACUCAACACGGAAUCACCAUGCCCAAAC
This 379-nucleotide ribosomal RNA is filed under the name Spheciospongia sp. 1 AJARS-2011. RNAcentral describes it as "SSU rRNA". It matches the Rfam family "Eukaryotic small subunit ribosomal RNA", at positions 846 to 1229 of the family's 1831-position model. Lineage: Eukaryota; Metazoa; Porifera; Demospongiae; Clionaida; Spirastrellidae. The record is from RNAcentral.